AUGCCUAGUGCAAUCUUAAUUAUGUGGUUACCAUCGUUGAUUCUUUGUAGGAAGCUCAAAGGAAGCAAGACUGCAACAAAAAUCUCUGAAUGCACUCCAAGCUUCUGUACGGCAUACAUCGUUUCGAAGGGCAAACUGUCAUUCGUGCACUCUGCUACAUCUGAUCCCUGCGAAAUACCCAAGACCAUAUCUUCUUCAACUGUUUCUUCAUUUAGCUCCAGAAGCCUUUCCAAUGCACCCUCAGAGUGGGAUGACAAAAAUGGAACAACAGCUGUAUUACUCCGCCAUUCAUCUGUGUCAUCGCAGCGUGAUCACGCACUGACACACUCGCAAAUAUAA
RNAcentral lists this ribosomal RNA (339 nucleotides) under Triticum aestivum (bread wheat). RNAcentral describes it as "partial small subunit ribosomal RNA". The record is from RNAcentral. Lineage: Eukaryota; Viridiplantae; Streptophyta; Magnoliopsida; Poales; Poaceae.